UACGUAGGUGGCAAGCGUUGUCCGGAAUUAUUGGGCGUAAAGCGCGCGCAGGCGGCCUCCUAAGUCCGAUGUGAAAGCCCACGGCUCAACCGUGGAGGGUCAUUGGAAACUGGGGGACUUGAGUGCAGGAGAGAAGAGUGGAAUUCCACGUGUAGCGGUGAAAUGCGUAGAGAUGCGGAGGAACACCAGUGGCGAAGGCGACUCUUUGGCCUGUAACUGACGCUGAGGCGCGAAAGCGUGGGGAGCAAACAGG
Molecule: ribosomal RNA, 253 nt
Filed under: uncultured bacterium
Lineage: Bacteria
Description: partial 16S ribosomal RNA
Rfam family: Bacterial small subunit ribosomal RNA
Source: RNAcentral